UAGGUUCUACCAACUCAUUAAACAACUCUCGUUUUGAACCUGGCAUAUUGGCUCGGCCUAACAACAUCUUCAUAAAGUUUGACCUCAAAUCAGGUAGGACUACCCGCUGAACUUAAGCAUAUCAAUAAGCGGAGGAAAAGAAACCAACAGGGAUUGCCUUAGUAACGGCGAGUGAAGCGGCAAAAGCUCAAAUUUGAAAUCUAGUACCUUCGGUGCUCGAGUUGUAAUUUGAAGAUGGUAACUUUGGAGUUGGCCCUUGUCUAUGUUCCUUGGAACAGGACGUCACAGAGGGUGAGAAUCCCGUCUGACGAGGUGAUCCAACUCUAUGUAAAGUGCUAUCGAAGAGUCGAGUUGUUUGGGAAUGCAGCUCUAAGUGGGUGGUAAAUUCCAUCUAAAGCUAAAUAUUGGCGAGAGACCGAUAGCGAACAAGUACAGUGAUGGAAAGAUGAAAAGAACUUUGAAAAGAGAGUGAAAAAGUACGUGAAAUUGUUGAAAGGGAAGGGUAUUAGAUCAGACUUGGCGUUUUAUGAUUAUCUUCUCUUCUUGAGUUGUGCACUCGUAUUGCGCUGGGCCAGCAUCGAUUCGGAUGGCAGGAUAAUGGCAAUUGAAUGUGGCAUCCACUUCGGUGUAUGUGUUAUAGCUUUUGUUGAUGCUGCCUAUCUGGAUCGAGGACUGCGUCUUU
RNAcentral lists this ribosomal RNA (682 nucleotides) under Taiozyma odintsovae. Its description in RNAcentral is "LSU rRNA". The stretch from base 80 to 682 matches the Rfam family "Eukaryotic large subunit ribosomal RNA", at positions 1 to 609 of the family's 3401-position model. Lineage: Eukaryota; Fungi; Ascomycota; Saccharomycetes; Phaffomycetales; Wickerhamomycetaceae. The record is from RNAcentral.